GAUCAGGGACAGUUGUUAAAAUUUAUUCUCAUUUUAAAUGGCAAAUUUUGGCUCAAUAUGAACUUCGACAACAUUUACUAUAUAGAAUCCAAACACCUUAAGAUGUAGUGGAUACCAAUGAGACAUCAACGCGACACUACAAGUCCCAUGCAGCUGCCAUUAAAACACAUAUGGCCCACACCAUUCUGUUCAACUCUAAGUAUGUGUUGCAUUUGUUUUUACUAGAACAAAAAAAAAAGUGUCUCCUGUUUUCUUUAUUUUUGCAGUCUUGCUUCGAUAUCUU
Molecule: unclassified non-coding RNA, 283 nt
Filed under: Hevea brasiliensis (rubber tree)
Lineage: Eukaryota; Viridiplantae; Streptophyta; Magnoliopsida; Malpighiales; Euphorbiaceae
Source: RNAcentral